This 253-nucleotide ribosomal RNA is filed under the name uncultured bacterium. RNAcentral describes it as "partial 16S ribosomal RNA". It matches the Rfam family "Bacterial small subunit ribosomal RNA", at positions 524 to 776 of the family's 1533-position model. The record is from RNAcentral.
UACAGAGGUCCCAAGCGUUGUUCAGAUUCAUUGGGCGUAAAGGGUGCGUAGGCGGCGCGGUAAGUCGGGUGUGAAAUCUCGGAGCUUAACUCCGAAACUGCAUUCGAUACUGCCGUGCUUGAGGACUGGAGAGGAGACUGGAAUUUACGGUGUAGCGGUGAAAUGCGUAGAUAUCGUAAGGAAGACCAGUGGCGAAGGCGGGUCUCUGGACAGUUCCUGACGCUGAGGCACGAAGGCCAGGGGAGCAAACGGG